GAGGGCGGCGAUGCGGGCGGAUUCCCCCCGGCUGCCCGGCGGCGGCGGCACCUCAGCUCCCAGCAGCGGCGGCGGCCAUGUUGGCCCUGAUCACGUGAUCCGUCGUCGUAACGCGCUGGAGUCUUUCAGGGAUUGACCACAGAGUCUGCAGCUGGACUACACCUGCCCUGCGUUGCCUGUUUCAGUAGCCUGUUGUACCACACCUAUUCCAUCCUGACCCCUGACAGCUUUGCAAAGCUACCUAUAAAUCUUCUCAACACCCUGUGCUCUGGUUCAGACAGCUCCACGCUCUGUGGUAGCCACUGCUCACUGCAAGGCUCCAUUUUUUAAUUUUUUUUAUUUCCUACCCCAUUACUAGGUUUGUUGUCUCUUGAGUUUUCUCAGUUCCUUAGCUUUCUUCUGAUCACGUGUAUUUUCACUAUCUAAAUGUUUCUUUUCUUUGGGGGGCAGCACAGCUCUGUCUAGUCACCAAGCAUAGGUCUGGCAUGAAGGAGAUAUCAGCAGAACAGAGACACAAGCCCUGGGCCAAUAAAGAGCUGGGGGAUUGCUGUGGUUUGAAUAUAGAAUUAUCCCUUGUGGGCCCCCAUGUUAAAGGCUUGA
This is a long non-coding RNA of Meriones unguiculatus (Mongolian gerbil), 600 nucleotides long. RefSeq lists it as uncharacterized. The transcript has 2 exons. The record is from RefSeq and is a predicted model, not a curated record. Lineage: Eukaryota; Metazoa; Chordata; Mammalia; Rodentia; Muridae.